Molecule: ribosomal RNA, 488 nt
Filed under: uncultured bacterium
Lineage: Bacteria
Description: bacterial SSU rRNA
Rfam family: Bacterial small subunit ribosomal RNA
Source: RNAcentral
AUUGAACGCUGGCGGCAUGCCUAACACAUGCAAGUCGAACGGAAACGAUGGGAGCUUGCUCCCAGGCGUCGAGUGGCGGACGGGUGAGUAAUGCUUAGGAAUCUGCCCAGUAGUGGGGGACAACCAGGAGAAAUUCUGGCUAAUACCGCAUACGCACUACGGUGGAAAGUGGGGGACCUUCGGGCCUCACGCUAUUGGAUGAGCCUAAGUCGGAUUAGCUUGUUGGUAGGGUAAUAGCCUACCAAGGCGACGAUCCGUAGCUGGUCUGAGAGGACGAUCAGCCACACUGGGACUGAGACACGGCCCAGACUCCUACGGGAGGCAGCAGUGGGGAAUAUUGGACAAUGGGCGCAAGCCUGAUCCAGCAAUGCCGCGUGUGUGAAGAAGGCCUGCGGGUUGUAAAGCACUUUCAGUAGAGAAGAAAAGCCUGAGGUUAAUACCCUCGAGUCUUGACGUAACCUACAGAAGAAGCACCGGCUAACUCCGUG